AGUUUGAUCCUGGCUCAGGAUGAACGCUAGCUACAGGCUUAACACAUGCAAGUCGAGGGGCAGCAUUUUAGUUUGCUUGCAAACUGAAGAUGGCGACCGGCGCACGGGUGAGUAACACGUAUCCAACCUGCCGAUAACUCGGGGAUAGCCUUUCGAAAGAAAGAUUAAUAUCCGAUAGUAUAUUAAAACCGCAUGGUUUUACUAUUAAAGAAUUUCGGUUAUCGAUGGGGAUGCGUUCCAUUAGUUUGUUGGCGGGGUAACGGCCCACCAAGACUACGAUGGAUAGGGGUUCUGAGAGGAAGGUCCCCCACAUUGGAACUGAGACACGGUCCAAACUCCUACGGGAGGCAGCAGUGAGGAAUAUUGGUCAAUGGACGAGAGUCUGAACCAGCCAAGUAGCGUGAAGGAUGACUGCCCUAUGGGUUGUAAACUUCUUUUAUAUGGGAAUAAAGUAUUCCACGUGUGGGAUUUUGUAUGUACCAUAUGAAUAAGGAUCGGCUAACUCCGUGCCAGCAGCCGCGGUAAUACGGAGGAUCCGAGCGUUAUCCGGAUUUAUUGGGUUUAAAGGGAGCGUGGGUGGAUUGUUAAGUCAGUUGUGAAAGUUUGCGGCUCAACCGUAAAAUUGCAGUUGAAACUGGCAGUCUUGAGUACAGUAGAGGUGGGCGGAAUUCGUGGUGUAGCGGUGAAAUGCUUAGAUAUCACGAAGAACUCCGAUUGCGAGGGCAGCUCACUAGACUGCAACUGACACUGAUGCUCGAAAGUGUGGGUAUCAAACAGGAUUAGAUACCCUGGUAGUCCACACAGUAAACGAUGAAUACUCGCUGUUUGCGAUAUACAGUAAGCGGCCAAGCGAAAGCAUUAAGUAUUCCACCUGGGGAGUACGCCGGCAACGGUGAAACUCAAAGGAAUUGACGGGGGCCCGCACAAGCGGAGGAACAUGUGGUUUAAUUCGAUGAUACGCGAGGAACCUUACCCGGGCUUAAAUUGCAAAUGAAUAAUCUGGAAACAGGUUAGCCGCAAGGCAUUUGUGAAGGUGCUGCAUGGUUGUCGUCAGCUCGUGUCGUGAGGUGUCGGCUUAAGUGCCAUAACGAGCGCAACCCUUAUCUUUAGUUACUAACAGGUCAUGCUGAGGACUCUAGAGAGACUGCCGUCGUAAGAUGUGAGGAAGGUGG
RNAcentral lists this ribosomal RNA (1172 nucleotides) under uncultured Bacteroides sp. Its description in RNAcentral is "bacterial SSU rRNA". It matches the Rfam family "Bacterial small subunit ribosomal RNA", at positions 10 to 1176 of the family's 1533-position model. The record is from RNAcentral. Lineage: Bacteria; Pseudomonadati; Bacteroidota; Bacteroidia; Bacteroidales; Bacteroidaceae.